AUGCUCACUUCAGCAGCACACAUACUAAAAUUGGAAUGAUGCAGAGAACAUUACCAUGGCUUCUGGGCAAGGAUGACAUGCAAGUUUGUGAAACAUUCCAUAUUUGU
RNAcentral lists this small nuclear RNA (107 nucleotides) under Chinchilla lanigera (long-tailed chinchilla). The record is from RNAcentral. Lineage: Eukaryota; Metazoa; Chordata; Mammalia; Rodentia; Chinchillidae.